This 531-nucleotide ribosomal RNA is filed under the name Triticum aestivum (bread wheat). RNAcentral's name for it is "partial small subunit ribosomal RNA". The record is from RNAcentral. Lineage: Eukaryota; Viridiplantae; Streptophyta; Magnoliopsida; Poales; Poaceae.
CAAAAAGCUAGGUUUUGGGAGGACCACUGGUUUGGUUCUGCUCCUCUAGCUACUCAAUAUUGGGAGCUUUAUUCUCUUACUACUGAGCAAAAUCUAACUGUUGGUACAGUUUGGGAUGGCACUGACUUGAAAAUUACCUUUAGGGGAUGCUUCCUUGAAAAUCUUCUAAUGUUGUGGUUUGAACUGCUUGAGAUUGCUAAAUCUAUUAUCCUUUCCAACGAGGAAGACACUUUAGUCUGGAACCUCAAUUCUAGAGGAGUAUAUAUUGUUAAAUCCUUUUAUAAAAUAGUAAACUUCAGAGGGGUGCUCCCUGUGAAUACCCCAGCUGUCUGGUCUAUUAAAAUCCCUGCUAGGAACCAUAUAUUUCUCUGGUUGUUCGCUAACAACAAGCUAUUGACCAAAGAUAAUCUGCAGAAAAGACAGGAAGUCCCUGAUCCUACCUGUGUUUUCUGCACUGAACUUGAAUCCUACCACCAUCUAUUUUUAGUUGUGUUGUUUCCUUGGAGUUCUGGAGAACUGUUGCCAAGUUAA